Molecule: non-coding RNA, 240 nt
Filed under: Brucella intermedia
Lineage: Bacteria; Pseudomonadati; Pseudomonadota; Alphaproteobacteria; Hyphomicrobiales; Brucellaceae
Also listed under: 1 other name
Source: RNAcentral
ACGUAAUAGUGUAACGACGGUUCCCCCCCGACCGAGAGCGAAGGGGAUUAAUAGGGAACACGGUGAGGACGACCCGAAAAGGGGCCGAGACCGUGGCUGCCCCCCCCGCAACUGUAAGCGGAUUGCCGUUCAUCCUCGUGACGUUGAAAGCGUCAUGCCACUGCGCCGGAGAAACGCGGGAAGGCAGAUGAACAGCAGAUAUUCGCGAGCCAGGAGACCUGCCGUCUAGUGUUGUCCAUU